Molecule: ribosomal RNA, 497 nt
Filed under: uncultured bacterium
Lineage: Bacteria
Description: partial 16S ribosomal RNA
Rfam family: Bacterial small subunit ribosomal RNA
Source: RNAcentral
GAUGAACGCUGGCGGCGUGCCUAAUACAUGCAAGUCGAGCGAACAGACGAGGAGCUUGCUCCUCUGUCGUUAGCGGCGGACGGGUGAGUAACACGUGGAUAACCUACCUAUAAGACUGGGAUAACUUCGGGAAACCGGAGCUAAUACCGGAUAAUAUAUUGAACCGCACGGUUCAAUAGUGAAAGACGGUUUUGCUGUCACUUAUAGAUGGAUCCGCGCCGCAUUAGCUAGUUGGUAAGGUAACGGCUUACCAAGGCAACGAUGCGUAGCCGACCUGAGAGGGUGAUCGGCCACACGGGAACUGAGACACGGUCCAGACUCCUAAGGGAGGCAGCAGUAGGGAAUCUUACGCAAUGGGCGAAAGCCUGACGGAGCAACGCCGCGUGAGUGAUGAAGGUCUUCGGAGCGUAAAACUCUGUUAUUAGGGAAGAACAAAUGUGUAAGUAACUAUGCACGUCUUGACGGUACCUAAACAGAAAGCCACGGCUAACUACGUG